Molecule: long non-coding RNA, 1244 nt
Organism: Oncorhynchus gorbuscha (pink salmon)
Lineage: Eukaryota; Metazoa; Chordata; Actinopteri; Salmoniformes; Salmonidae
Exons: 3
Source: RefSeq, a predicted model, not a curated record
UCCCUCUCCCUUCCAUAUCUUUCUCUCUCCCUUCCAUAUCUCUCCCUCUCCCUUCCAUAUCUCUCCCUCUCCCUUCCAUAUCUCUCCCUCUCCCUUCCUACUUCUACACAUCUCCUUCCCUACCUACAGGCUAUGAACACUGAACUAAAGAAACAAGACAUAAUGGCCUGUCUACCUACAGGCUAUGAACACUGAACUAAAGAAACGAGAUGAUCGAUGGCCUGUCUACCUACAGGCUAUGAACACUGAACUAAAGAAACGAGACGUUAUGGCCUGUCUACCUACAGGCUAUGAACACUGAACUAAAGAAACGAGACAUAAUGGCCUGUCUACCUACAGGCUAUAAACACUGAACUAAAGAAACGAGACGUUAUGGCCUGUCUACCUACAGGCUAUGAACACUGAACUAAAGAAACGAGAUGAUCGAUGGCCUGUCUACCUACAGGCUAUGAACACUGAACUAAAGAAACGAGACGUUAUGGCCUGUCUACCUACAGGCUAUGAACACUGAACUAAAGAAACGAGAUGAUAAUGGCCUGUCUACCUACAGGCUAUAAACACUGAACUAAAGAAACGAGACAUUAUGGCCUGUCUACCUACAGGCUAUGAACACUGAACUAAAGAAACAAGACGAUCGAUGGUACUAGUAGUUUCUCCGCUGAUUUCAAUAAUCAUGUAUCAGGUUCGUGUUCUGAACUCUCAACUCGCUGCCGCAUACCGGAUCAAAGUGAGAUGGAGGAACUCCUGAAACUUUUCUUGGCUCAGAGAAAUGCCGAUGCCUACUUCAAUGGAUGUUGAUGAGGUCCACAACAUGGUUCUGUGGUCCAGUUCCUGUAUUGAAGUGGUGUGGAAUGGUUGGUGAGCUGGGGUCACUCCUACCAGGUCCAGUAUUAGCCAUCACAGCUACAGCUUCCAAGGCUACAAGGAAGAGCAGAAUGUGUCUUCUGACCCGGUAGAGACGUUUUCACAAUUGCUCACAGAGUUGGAGUCAAAGCGGCCUGAGACCCCAAGGCAGCCAAACCUCCGACGAGCCAGGUGAUGUAGAUCCAUCAUGGCGUCCCGGGGAUCCGAGGUGAUGCAGUUGCGUUAUGACGCAGGUGAAAACCUGCGGCUGUGGGACGCGCUGGGCGGACGGCUGAGCUGUGAUUGGUCGGUUGGGGCAGCAGCUCGUUGCUACGAACAAGCUGUAGCAACGCAGUAGUAUCGACCAGACAGGCUCAGAACAGCACGAUUCUUCAAAACUA